Molecule: long non-coding RNA, 102 nt
Organism: Dendronephthya gigantea
Lineage: Eukaryota; Metazoa; Cnidaria; Anthozoa; Malacalcyonacea; Nephtheidae
Exons: 2
Source: RefSeq, a predicted model, not a curated record
CCCAUGGCAAAUACCAACAGGGCACCGAAAACCUUGGACACUCGUAAAGAACACCUUAAGUCCGAAAUCACUGCUAAUUUAGCGGCCGCCCUUGGCGAUUUG